Molecule: ribosomal RNA, 414 nt
Filed under: bacterium enrichment culture clone ALO1_GLFRUDD03GWY03
Lineage: Bacteria
Description: bacterial SSU rRNA
Rfam family: Bacterial small subunit ribosomal RNA
Source: RNAcentral
GAGUUUGAUCGUGGCUCAGAUUGAACGCUGGCGGCAUGCCUUACACAUGCAAGUCGAACGGCAGCACGGGAGCUUGCUCCUGGUGGCGAGUGGCGAACGGGUGAGUAAUGCAUCGGAACGUAUCCUGGAGUGGGGGAUAACGUAGCGAAAGUUACGCUAAUACCGCAUAUUCUGUGAGCAGGAAAGCGGGGGACCUUCGGGCCUCGCGCUCUUGGAGCGGCCGAUGUCGGAUUAGCUAGUUGGUGAGGUAAAGGCUCACCAAGGCGACGAUCCGUAGCAGGUCUGAGAGGAUGAUCUGCCACACUGGAACUGAGACACGGUCCAGACUCCUACGGGAGGCAGCAGUGGGGAAUUUUGGACAAUGGGGGCAACCCUGAUCCAGCCAUGCCGCGUGAGUGAAGAAGGCCUUCGGUG